UUUUUUUUUUUUUUUUUUUUUUUUUUUGUCUUUUGAGGGCCAUACCUACGGCAUAGGGAGGUUCCCAGGCUAGGGGUUGCAUCAGAGCUACAGCUGCCAGCCUACACCCCAAGCAGAGUAAAGAGGGAUCCAAGCUGCAUCUGCAACCUACACCACAGCUCACAGCAACACCAGAUCCUUAACCCACUGAGCAAGGUCAGGAAUCGAACCCGCAUCCUCAUAGAUACUAGCUGGGUUCAUUAACUGCUGAGCCACUACGGGAACUCCUUGAGAUAAAUUCUAGUACCUGCAUUCUAUAGGAUGGUCUAUAGCCAUUUAGAAAGCUGAUCCAGGACAACAUCCAACUCUAUGGAAAGCUGUUCACAAUAUGUUGGAUAUUUUUAAAAAGCAAAGAGAUUAUAAAGAAUUGUAAGAAGAGUGUGAUGCCAUUUCGACAGUGCAAAAGAUCCUUUUUCAAAAGGAAAUAAUACAUUUUCAGUGUUUAAUUUUUAUCAUUCUUAUUUCUUGUUUGUAUUUUAUUAAUGUUUCUCUACUGACUGUUUUACCUUUGUAGGAAGAAAAAAAAUCCUAACUUUGUUCCAACAAUAUAAAAUAUGAGGGUAGCAGACAACUCAAAGGGAUUUGGGUGUUGCCAGUAUAAAAAGCCACCGUUUCCACCCCCAGCCCCCUGGCUAUCUCCCAGAUUUCUGCCUUCUGAUCAGCUCAGCACCCUAGACAGUGCCAGGCGUUCACUACAUUCUAACCAGGGGAGGCUCAGGGGCUGGUGGAGAUGCAAUCAGAGGAGGCUCACGACUUCGGUGUUUGUUUCCAACCCACCAAUCCUGGCUGAGCCUACGGAUCCCUCGGUUGAACCUUUUAGGAGAAACCAAGAGGAAGCUCAAGAGGCACCAGGUCUUGAAGGAGUCCCACAUCCUGGACAGUUAGAAACAGAAGCAAAGUGAACACGUGCUCUGGUUUCCCAGGGUCCUGACGGUAGGGCUGCUGCAGCCUCAUCCUUGCCCAGCUGGGCCUCCUAAGGCUCAUCUGUGUGGGGAACCCUGUCGCUCCUAGAGGUGCGGUGUUGACCUGCCCUCAAGGAGACUCCGUUCUCGGGGGAGAGAUGAGUGGUCAGAUGGCCUCUCCGGGUUGGUGCUACAUGAGGGGUAGGUGCAGCACCCCCUGGAAGCACAGAGGAGGGACCUUAAUCCAUGACCGGAGGCCCAGGGAGUGUUCCCAAGGAGGCGGUGCGCAGCAUUGGUAGGAGAGGGAAUUAGGGAGCUGGUCCUUUAUGUAUUCUCACAGAAGGGACAAGGUAAGGUUCCCAGUCUGCAUUCAAGUCAUCUGAAGUAAUUCUGCAGUCACUUGCUGCGUAAGCGGGUCUGGGAGUUCUGAGUCUAGUCGUGAGGUUCUAGACCCCUUAUCAGGUGAUGAGACAAGAGCUAAGAAGAGCCAGGAGACGUGAUAAGCCCGAGGGUGUGGGGGAGGACAACCAGACUCAAAGCCGGCAUCAGGCCUGACCCAGAUCUGGAUCUGGAUCUGAAUGGAGCUUGUGUUUGGCUCUGCACAGCGGUGGGGAAGAGGCAGGGAGCCAGCCGCUGAGGGAAUGACUAAGACGAGAAGUGCAGCUUGGAGAAAGGCCACCAGGGGGAGCUCGAGGUAACUGUUGCUCCUGCCGCUUUCUCCCUUGCGAUUGUGGCUUUAAGGUUCCUCCGCCUUUGGCGCCAGGAGGAGAAAAAUCCGACAGGGUACCCUACCAGGCGUAGAGAGAAGAGAGGGGCCAGGAAAGAGAAGAGCUGUUUGACACUGAAAUAGCAGGGGAAGAAAACAGCAUACACCACUUAAUAAACAAGGCUGGAGAUGAGGGCCAGUGGUUAAUGGGAAAGAGACACAUGGCACCCUGUGACUUCCCCCAGGCUUAGCCACGCACCUCCUCACCCUCUGGAGAACCUGCCUCAAGCCCUGGCCCUCUCUAGCUGGGCCCCCCGCUUCCUGGUGAAGAGUUUCCUUCCUGCCGUAUUUGGCAUCCAUCCACAUACAAGAACCGUACCCAACUGAGAAGCCCCUAUCUACGGUGCCUGCUCUCUCACACGGGCUUGGUUCCAUGUACCCAUGGCCGUUACCGCUAUUGCAAAUGACCUCCUUGGUUUUUUGCUUCUCGAUCUUUGUUUCCCCCCACUUGGUCUUCCAGGGACCUUGUCUCGUUCAUCACCAUCACCUAGUGCUUAGAACAGGGCCUGCCACAUGGUACGGCUUGAUCGAAAAACUGCUGUCGGGGCAGAGAGGUGGGGAAGAAAACAAGCUCCAGAAUCAGACACAUACAAACCCCUGGACUGAGCCUAACUCCCCCGCCUCCCCAGAGGGACUCGUGGGUAGCCACUGAGUCUUGCUUUGUACAAUGGGCUGUAUAAGGUUUGUGGAGCUGCCAAGGGCCUGAUACAGAAUAAGGAUUCUGCAAGGUGGCUUUUAAAUUUUAUUGUGAUGAUAAAGAAUAAAAAGGCGAAUUUUGCUUUUUUCACUAGAGGUGGGACGGAGUAGGAGCUCCCAAUUGCCAGCAAGUGGGCUGAAGAAUUACCUCCUGCACGGGUCAGGAGGGGGAGGCAGAAAGAGGAAGAAUGGAGUGACCAAUUCUAAGAACCUCUAUGCUGCCACACAGAGGGAAGUGAAGCCAGAGCUGUCAGGACUUUGCUCUCGAGGGCAGAUUGAGUAAGAUUUCUUGGGGCAAUCCCUGGGCAAGUACCAGAGCAAAACUGUAUGACCUCCAUGGUUGCUCAGCAGCACCCAUGUCUGGGGAGGAUGCUCAGCUCAGUUCAGCCUCCCCCCACCCCCCCGCUGCCCCCCUGCCAGCCACAGGGCAGUAUCUUUGCAUCUUACUAUGCAGACUACCCUGGAAAAGAAGCCAGCUUGGGCAUCAUCGCUUCCUGUUUCAUUUCUUCCAUUUGAUGUAGAUGAUGAUCUGGAUAUUGCAGUGAGGCCAAGCUUGCACAAAAAAAGGAAAGUUCAGCUCAACAUAAGAACACAUUAUGGAGAAAGGGAGUCAAGAUGCUGUUGGUUCAAGAAUAAAGUGUUAACUAAGAUCGAAGAGAAAAAUGCUCACUGAGAGCUCCAAGAAUGAAGGGGAGGGAGUUCCCGUCUUUCACGUGAAGUGGCGAGAAGCAGAGACAGGACAGGACCAGGGCCAGGAGACCUGGGUUCCAGCAUGGGCUCUGACCUCAACUGUGGCUUUAGGGCAGUGACAUUCCUUCUAUGGGCUUCGGUUUUCUCAAUUAUCACCCACGCUCCUCCCGCUGUCUAUCAUUCAUUCACUGAUUCAUUGAAUCAAAAGUAUUUUUCAAGCCCUCAGGUUGUGCUGGGCACUGCUGAUGUGCUGGGGAUUCAGUAAUGAGCAAAGCUGAUAAAAAUCCCCAUCCUCGUGUUUUCUGCGCACAGCACACAAAAUCAAGAAAACAUGUAUCUGAGAUGGAGAUGAGUAUGAAGGGGGAAAAGGGGUGGGGGAAAGGGGGCAAGGAGCUUCUUCUGAAGGGGGACUUCAGAGGCAAGACCUAAGGAGGUGAGGGAGCGAGUCAGGAGGACAUUGGGACAAAGAGGGUUCCAGACAGAGGGGACAGUGAUGGGAAGGGCUGGUCUGAAUACGAAACCUUCUCACCUCCACUCCUUUCCAUGCCACAAGCUGGCCUGCUGGUGGUGGCAGCCUCCUGAGGGCCUCUCUGCCUCUACCACCGCUUCUCCCAUCCCCCCUCCACUGCAGAGGAGAGGUGACUCUUUAAAAAGGAAGUUGGACUCCAUCACUUCCCUGCUCGGAACCCACCUGGCGCCCCUACCACACUCAGAACAAAUGCCAAAGUCCUCACCAUGGCCCUUCAGUAUCUCCCAAGCCCAGCUCCCUCUCCUCUCUCCCCGGCUCACUCCUUCCCGGCUUCUCUGUAGGGUGCUGUUUCUGGACCACACCAAGCAAGCCGCAACCUCAGGGGCUUUGCCCUAGAUGUCUUUCCUGGUUACCCAUCUGGCUUCCUGACUUCAUGCAGACGUCACCUCCUCGGGAGGACCUCCUUGACCAACAGCCCUCACCUCCUGCCCCUUUACCCUGCUUUGUCUUCAUAACACGUAUCAGUCCCUCCCAUCAUUUUAUAUAUUUAUAAUCAUAGCUAUAAUUGAUCAGAUGUUUACCAUGUGCUACACACUUCUAAAUAUCCAAGAAUUAAUUCACAUUCCCCCAAACUCCUUGAGGAUGUAUCAUUAACUUCAUUUACUGAUAACCUGAGAUACUGAGAGCUUAAGACAUUUGCUCGAGGUCUCCCAACUGGUGUCAGAGAAGAUUCAAACCCUGGAGUUUCCACGAUUGGCUACAACACUCUAGACCAGCACUACCCCAAAGAGCUUGGCAAGGAUGGAAUCUUCUAUGUCCAAAAUAGUAGCCACUGGCCACAUGCGACUGUUGAGAAUUUGAAAUGUAUGUAGUCAAGGAACUGAAAUUUUAUUUCACUUCCAUGACUUUGACUUUAAAUAGCUACAUAUGGCUGCUGACAACCAUAGUGGACAGUAGAGCCCUAAAGCCCCUGAUGUGUUCCUUUGUUAAUGUUUAUCUACCACAUGUGGAGGGAAUUUUUCUGUGCCUCAGUUUCCUUCUAAUGAGUGAAAUACCAUAUAGGGCUCUGGUGAGGAUGAAAUAUAUAUGUGUGUGUGUGUGUGUGUGUAUGCUUGGAACAUAGCCUGGCAGGAAGUAAUUACACAAUGCUUGUUAAUUACCAUCAUCAUCAUCGCCACCUCGCCGUUACUAUUAUCAUCAUACAGCCCCAUAAGCCUAAGGACUUUGUUCUUUGCUCUCUGGCGAAUCCCCCUUACCUUGAACCUUUUGGCAUCUAGUAGGUGCUCGAUAAAUAUUUCUUGAAUGAAUAAGUAAGUGGAUUGAAUUGAAUGUGGGAACUGGAUGAGGAUGAACUGUCACAAACUCAAACUCUUUGGGGCGCUUGGCAGGGAACGUAAAUGAGUGAGGGGUGAUGGUAUAAGAUUAAGGGGGAGGACUGGGGACAAUGGCACUCUGAAGAGACUCUGCCCCAGGUCAGGGUAUGCCAAGUCAUUUUCCAGGGAUGCGGGCAGUGUGGAGGAGCACCCAGCGCUAAAGGACACCCAUAAGCAGCCACUUUGGGGGACUUUAUUACUCUACAGUUACAAGUCCCUGGUUUCCUUUCCAAGAGGUUCAACUCCUGACAUUGCCCAGCCUUGACGGGCAUCCUCUGAGAGUAGAGCAAUCCAGGCAGACGCAGGGCUGAGGGAACCCGUGGCAUAGACGGUGCUGAAUGAAGAUGUACUCGCUCAUGUUCUCACUGAGUGCAGAUCUCCCUGGGGAAACUGCAUGGUGUCUCAGAAAUUACAUGCAAAGAAAAAAAAAAAAAAAAAAAAAAAAGAAAAAGAGAAGGUAAGGAAGGAAGGAAAAAAGAAAGAAAAGAAAAAAUAAAAUGUGAGUGGCUUGAGAAACAGGAACAUCAGUCUGCGAAGUGGCAGCUGAGUUGACAGCAGCAACAGGGAACAGGCUCCCCGCCUCCCCAUACCCUGUGUCUAGAGGGAAGUCUUAUCUUGGACAGGAUUCAUGUUCUGAAGACAGAGACUGCAGGCAGACUUCUGGUGCUCACCUUGGGCCAUGCAUCUGUUUGCUUGAAGAGAUUCACAGGCCAAGCGACCCACAUCAUUCAAACUGCUAUUUCUCUCUCUCCUUGCAGCCACGUGCAGGUGUGCAUCCGCAAGGCACAGUGCCUGUGACGUGAACGUCACACCAGCAGGGACUCCACCGACCUUGGCUCACCUCCGUUUGCCUUCCUCCAACGCCCAGAUGGUUGAGUCCCGCUCUAAGAACCAGUUUCGCUUGUGUGAGUCACAGCGGUGUGACUGUGGGCACCUCUGGGCCAUGAUUAGGGCUACAAGUCCUUCCAGCGAAGAGAUGCGGUGUCAUGCAGUGAUUCUAAAUCAGAAGUAGCUCGUAGGAAUGGAUAGCAGAUGUGGGGCCCACGUGUUUUUUGUUUGUUUGUUCGUUUGUUUUUCAAGUUAGUUGAUGUAUUAGUUUUCAACUGCUACUGUAACAAGUUACCACAAAUUUGGUGACUCAAAACAACACAUGUUCCUUAUCUUACAGUUCUGGAGGUUGAAAAUCCAACACAGGUCUUGCUGCAUGAAAUUGGGGGAUUGCUCCCUCUUGAAGGGUCUGGAGAGAAUCCUUCUCCUCGCUUUCCCAGCUGCUAGAAGCCAGUCACAUUUCCUUGGCCGUGGUCCCCUUCCUUCUUUUUCAAAACCCAUAGGAACUCCAUGAAGAAGGUAAGAUGACAGUCACAUGCCUGAACUCUAAACACACUGGGUUUUAUCUCUCCGUGUCUUUUCCCUAUAAUCACCCCUCCCCAACUGCCACUUUCCUCUUGUGCCUCCCUCUUCCAUUUGAAAGGAUGCUUGUGGUGACAUUGGGUCCUCGCACAUUUUCAGGAUAAUUUCCCUAUUUUAAGGCUAGCCGAUUAUAUAUUCUGCCUAGCACAGCAGACGGCACGUCUUCUCCUUCUUCUUCCUUUUUUGUAACAUGAAAUUUAGCUUUCUAGAUUUUCUCAAACAAAGAUCUGGCAACCCUGUUCCCCAUUCUUACGUUAAAAGACUCCCAUACAAUGCAACGACAACAACGCGCAUGGACUGAGCUGCUGCCGGUUUGCCCUACUCCCCAGCCCUCCUUAUCAUCUUCCUUACUGAUGCCCCGAGUAAGCUGCCGUUUGCCAUUGCACUGGGUCAUU
RNAcentral lists this long non-coding RNA (6740 nucleotides) under Sus scrofa (pig). RNAcentral's name for it is "lncRNA (ENSSSCG00065015914.1)". The record is from RNAcentral. Lineage: Eukaryota; Metazoa; Chordata; Mammalia; Artiodactyla; Suidae.